This is a long non-coding RNA of Talpa occidentalis (Iberian mole), 573 nucleotides long. RefSeq lists it as uncharacterized. The record is from RefSeq and is a predicted model, not a curated record. Lineage: Eukaryota; Metazoa; Chordata; Mammalia; Eulipotyphla; Talpidae. The transcript has 3 exons.
AGAUGCUCAGUGCUGGGUGAGAGCCCCAGGGAGGUGGGAGAUCUGUGCUGUAUUCCAGUCUAUGGCAGUCACAUCUUACCAGGGCCUCUGACGGUACCCUGAGCUGGAGCCGCUUUCGUCGUCACUCACCUAGAACAGAAAUCCCCUGCAGACUUUUAUAAGUGCCUCCUCACCUUCCAGAGCCCUCUGAUGGGUGUCCUACCAGGAAAGGGCCAUUUUCCUGCUCUGAAGUGACACCGCAGAUUCAGAACCGGCCUGUGUUGGGCAUUUUAUCCUCGUUGACUCCACUUAAUCCAGCCAUCCUGUCGACAUUAUCCCCACCUAAAGAUGAGGAGACUGAGGCCGGGGGUGGUCAGCCCCUGUGGGCAGAACCAGGGCAGCAUCUUAACCGGCCAAGACGCUCUGUCCUUCACCAGUGAAACACUCACGGGCGACUGCAAUUAAACUGGCUUGUAAUUCCCCGUCUCCCAAACGAACCCUCCCUUCAUGAGGAUGCGCUGGUAGGCAUCGGGCAUUAAUACAAAUGAGGCCGUGCAGCUAUGUGUAAUUAAAGGGGAAGAUGGGUACCUCGCU